UACGUAGAAGGCAAGCGUUAUCCGGAUUUACUGGGCGUAAAGCGGGUGCAGGCGGCUUUUCAAGUCGGAUGUAAAAUCUCCCGGCUUAACUGGGAGGGACCAUUCGAUACUGUUGGGCUAGAGAGCAGUAGAAGGAGGCGGAAUUCCCGGUGUAGUGGUGACAUGCGUAGAUAUCGGGAGGAACACCAGCGGCGAAGGCGGCCUCCUAGACUGUUUCUGACGCUGAGGCCCGAAAGCGUGGGGAGCGAACAGGAUUAGAUACCCCUGUA
RNAcentral lists this ribosomal RNA (269 nucleotides) under uncultured prokaryote. Its description in RNAcentral is "partial 16S ribosomal RNA". It matches the Rfam family "Bacterial small subunit ribosomal RNA", at positions 524 to 792 of the family's 1533-position model. The record is from RNAcentral.